UAUAAGGGGUUUUGAGUUUUUGCUUGUACUGUUUGACCACUCGUCUUAUUUAAAAAAAAUAUUGAAAUUAUUAUUUAUUAUUUUGACUUACUUUAUUAUCCAAAACACUUUAAGCACAACUUUUUGUUUUUUAUAUUUGUAAAAAAAAUUUAAAUAAGACGAGUGGUCAAAUAAUGCAAACAAAAACUCAAAAUCCCUUUUAUU
This 204-nucleotide microRNA precursor is filed under the name Oryza glumipatula. Its description in RNAcentral is "MIR812 microRNA precursor family". It matches the Rfam family "MIR812 microRNA precursor family". The record is from Rfam by way of RNAcentral. Lineage: Eukaryota; Viridiplantae; Streptophyta; Magnoliopsida; Poales; Poaceae.